Cyprinodon tularosa is the source of this 345-nucleotide long non-coding RNA. RefSeq lists it as uncharacterized. The record is from RefSeq and is a predicted model, not a curated record. The transcript is spliced from 3 exons. Lineage: Eukaryota; Metazoa; Chordata; Actinopteri; Cyprinodontiformes; Cyprinodontidae.
AAGAUUCUGUCUGUGACACUACCCUGGGACCUAGCAGGUGUCACAAUGAGCAACAGGUGGUGGUUGGGGGAGAAAAUACUUCUUCAUGCUGUUCUUGAACGGACAAAACAGCAGGUUAAACAAAUCCGACGAGGCCUGAAAGAUGCAGGUAUCUGGGAAUUUUUUAGCUCCAGGCCAGGCGCAGCUGAAGUCCUAUUCCCAAGGGCCUGCGAUGCAGAGAUUACGCCAAAAAUGAUUCUGGACAACAUCACCUGGCCAAGAGAGGAGGACAUUGAUGAGGACAUCAUCAGCCUGGAGGAACACUGCAGCAAUAUGUCCUUCCUCCGAAAAUUUAUUGAUGAAGGU